CCUACGGGAGGCAGCAGUGGGGAAUUUUGGACAAUGGGCGCAAGCCUGAUCCAGCCAUGCCGCGUGCGGGAAGAAGGCCUUCGGGUUGUAAACCGCUUUUGUCAGGGAAGAAAUCCUUUGGGUUAAUACCUCGGAGGGAUGACGGUACCUGAAGAAUAAGCACCGGCUAACUACGUGCCAGCAGCCGCGGUAAUACGUAGGGUGCGAGCGUUAAUCGGAAUUACUGGGCGUAAAGCGUGCGCAGGCGGUUAUGCAAGACAGAUGUGAAAUCCCCGGGCUCAACCUGGGAACUGCAUUUGUGACUGCAUAGCUAGAGUACGGUAGAGGGGGAUGGAAUUCCGCGUGUAGCAGUGAAAUGCGUAGAUAUGCGGAGGAACACCGAUGGCGAAGGCAAUCCCCUGGACCUGUACUGACGCUCAUGCACGAAAGCGUGGGGAGCAAACAGGAUUAGAUACCCUGGUAGUCCACGCCCUAAACGAUGUCAACUGGUUGUUGGACGGCUUGCUGUUCAGUAACGAAGCUAACGCGUGAAGUUGACCGCCUGGGGAAUCGGCCGCAAGGUUGAAACUUAAGGAAUUGACGGCNGAGACGUAGCGACGGACGACGACGAGGGAGGAGG
RNAcentral lists this ribosomal RNA (619 nucleotides) under uncultured bacterium. Its description in RNAcentral is "bacterial SSU rRNA". It matches the Rfam family "Bacterial small subunit ribosomal RNA", at positions 338 to 954 of the family's 1533-position model. The record is from RNAcentral.